RNAcentral lists this ribosomal RNA (2904 nucleotides) under Escherichia coli. RNAcentral's name for it is "23S ribosomal RNA". It matches the Rfam family "Bacterial large subunit ribosomal RNA". Lineage: Bacteria; Pseudomonadati; Pseudomonadota; Gammaproteobacteria; Enterobacterales; Enterobacteriaceae. The record is from RNAcentral.
GGUUAAGCGACUAAGCGUACACGGUGGAUGCCCUGGCAGUCAGAGGCGAUGAAGGACGUGCUAAUCUGCGAUAAGCGUCGGUAAGGUGAUAUGAACCGUUAUAACCGGCGAUUUCCGAAUGGGGAAACCCAGUGUGUUUCGACACACUAUCAUUAACUGAAUCCAUAGGUUAAUGAGGCGAACCGGGGGAACUGAAACAUCUAAGUACCCCGAGGAAAAGAAAUCAACCGAGAUUCCCCCAGUAGCGGCGAGCGAACGGGGAGCAGCCCAGAGCCUGAAUCAGUGUGUGUGUUAGUGGAAGCGUCUGGAAAGGCGCGCGAUACAGGGUGACAGCCCCGUACACAAAAAUGCACAUGCUGUGAGCUCGAUGAGUAGGGCGGGACACGUGGUAUCCUGUCUGAAUAUGGGGGGACCAUCCUCCAAGGCUAAAUACUCCUGACUGACCGAUAGUGAACCAGUACCGUGAGGGAAAGGCGAAAAGAACCCCGGCGAGGGGAGUGAAAAAGAACCUGAAACCGUGUACGUACAAGCAGUGGGAGCACGCUUAGGCGUGUGACUGCGUACCUUUUGUAUAAUGGGUCAGCGACUUAUAUUCUGUAGCAAGGUUAACCGAAUAGGGGAGCCGAAGGGAAACCGAGUCUUAACUGGGCGUUAAGUUGCAGGGUAUAGACCCGAAACCCGGUGAUCUAGCCAUGGGCAGGUUGAAGGUUGGGUAACACUAACUGGAGGACCGAACCGACUAAUGUUGAAAAAUUAGCGGAUGACUUGUGGCUGGGGGUGAAAGGCCAAUCAAACCGGGAGAUAGCUGGUUCUCCCCGAAAGCUAUUUAGGUAGCGCCUCGUGAAUUCAUCUCCGGGGGUAGAGCACUGUUUCGGCAAGGGGGUCAUCCCGACUUACCAACCCGAUGCAAACUGCGAAUACCGGAGAAUGUUAUCACGGGAGACACACGGCGGGUGCUAACGUCCGUCGUGAAGAGGGAAACAACCCAGACCGCCAGCUAAGGUCCCAAAGUCAUGGUUAAGUGGGAAACGAUGUGGGAAGGCCCAGACAGCCAGGAUGUUGGCUUAGAAGCAGCCAUCAUUUAAAGAAAGCGUAAUAGCUCACUGGUCGAGUCGGCCUGCGCGGAAGAUGUAACGGGGCUAAACCAUGCACCGAAGCUGCGGCAGCGACGCUUAUGCGUUGUUGGGUAGGGGAGCGUUCUGUAAGCCUGCGAAGGUGUGCUGUGAGGCAUGCUGGAGGUAUCAGAAGUGCGAAUGCUGACAUAAGUAACGAUAAAGCGGGUGAAAAGCCCGCUCGCCGGAAGACCAAGGGUUCCUGUCCAACGUUAAUCGGGGCAGGGUGAGUCGACCCCUAAGGCGAGGCCGAAAGGCGUAGUCGAUGGGAAACAGGUUAAUAUUCCUGUACUUGGUGUUACUGCGAAGGGGGGACGGAGAAGGCUAUGUUGGCCGGGCGACGGUUGUCCCGGUUUAAGCGUGUAGGCUGGUUUUCCAGGCAAAUCCGGAAAAUCAAGGCUGAGGCGUGAUGACGAGGCACUACGGUGCUGAAGCAACAAAUGCCCUGCUUCCAGGAAAAGCCUCUAAGCAUCAGGUAACAUCAAAUCGUACCCCAAACCGACACAGGUGGUCAGGUAGAGAAUACCAAGGCGCUUGAGAGAACUCGGGUGAAGGAACUAGGCAAAAUGGUGCCGUAACUUCGGGAGAAGGCACGCUGAUAUGUAGGUGAAGUCCCUCGCGGAUGGAGCUGAAAUCAGUCGAAGAUACCAGCUGGCUGCAACUGUUUAUUAAAAACACAGCACUGUGCAAACACGAAAGUGGACGUAUACGGUGUGACGCCUGCCCGGUGCCGGAAGGUUAAUUGAUGGGGUUAGCGCAAGCGAAGCUCUUGAUCGAAGCCCCGGUAAACGGCGGCCGUAACUAUAACGGUCCUAAGGUAGCGAAAUUCCUUGUCGGGUAAGUUCCGACCUGCACGAAUGGCGUAAUGAUGGCCAGGCUGUCUCCACCCGAGACUCAGUGAAAUUGAACUCGCUGUGAAGAUGCAGUGUACCCGCGGCAAGACGGAAAGACCCCGUGAACCUUUACUAUAGCUUGACACUGAACAUUGAGCCUUGAUGUGUAGGAUAGGUGGGAGGCUUUGAAGUGUGGACGCCAGUCUGCAUGGAGCCGACCUUGAAAUACCACCCUUUAAUGUUUGAUGUUCUAACGUGGACCCGUAAUCCGGGUUGCGGACAGUGUCUGGUGGGUAGUUUGACUGGGGCGGUCUCCUCCUAAAGAGUAACGGAGGAGCACGAAGGUUGGCUAAUCCUGGUCGGACAUCAGGAGGUUAGUGCAAUGGCAUAAGCCAGCUUGACUGCGAGCGUGACGGCGCGAGCAGGUGCGAAAGCAGGUCAUAGUGAUCCGGUGGUUCUGAAUGGAAGGGCCAUCGCUCAACGGAUAAAAGGUACUCCGGGGAUAACAGGCUGAUACCGCCCAAGAGUUCAUAUCGACGGCGGUGUUUGGCACCUCGAUGUCGGCUCAUCACAUCCUGGGGCUGAAGUAGGUCCCAAGGGUAUGGCUGUUCGCCAUUUAAAGUGGUACGCGAGCUGGGUUUAGAACGUCGUGAGACAGUUCGGUCCCUAUCUGCCGUGGGCGCUGGAGAACUGAGGGGGGCUGCUCCUAGUACGAGAGGACCGGAGUGGACGCAUCACUGGUGUUCGGGUUGUCAUGCCAAUGGCACUGCCCGGUAGCUAAAUGCGGAAGAGAUAAGUGCUGAAAGCAUCUAAGCACGAAACUUGCCCCGAGAUGAGUUCUCCCUGACUCCUUGAGAGUCCUGAAGGAACGUUGAAGACGACGACGUUGAUAGGCCGGGUGUGUAAGCGCAGCGAUGCGUUGAGCUAACCGGUACUAAUGAACCGUGAGGCUUAACCUU